UACGUAGGGGGCAAGCGUUGUCCGGAAUCAUUGGGCGUAAAGAGCGUGUAGGCGGUCCGGUAAGUCCGCUGUGAAAGUCGAGGGCUCAACCUUGAAUGCCGGUGGAUACUGUCGGGCUUGAGUACGGGAGAGGCGAGUGGAAUUCCUGGUGUAGCGGUGAAAUGCGCAGAUAUCAGGAGGAACACCGAUUGCGAAGGCAGCUCGCUGGAACGUUACUGACGCUGAGACGCGAAAGCGUGGGGAGCAAACAGG
This 252-nucleotide ribosomal RNA is filed under the name uncultured bacterium. Its description in RNAcentral is "partial 16S ribosomal RNA". It matches the Rfam family "Bacterial small subunit ribosomal RNA", at positions 524 to 776 of the family's 1533-position model. The record is from RNAcentral.